RNAcentral lists this ribosomal RNA (494 nucleotides) under uncultured bacterium. RNAcentral describes it as "partial 16S ribosomal RNA". It matches the Rfam family "Bacterial small subunit ribosomal RNA", at positions 28 to 507 of the family's 1533-position model. The record is from RNAcentral.
GACGAACGCUGGCGGCGCGCUUAACACAUGCAAGUCGAACGGAAAGGCCUGCUUUCCCUUGUGGGUUGCGGGUACUCGAGUGGCGAACGGGUGAGUAACACGUGAGUUAUCUGUCCCCAACUUUUGUAUAAGCCUGGGAAACUGGGGCUAAUUCCCGAUAGGUCUGCAGGGUGGUUCCUGUGGUGGAAACCGAUUUUCUAGGGGUUGGGGAUGAGCUGGCGGCCUAUCAGCUAGUGGGUGGGGUAAUGGCUUACCAAGGCGGCGACGGGUAGCCGGCCUGGGAGGGUGGACGGCAGCGUUGGAACUGAGACACGGCCCAGACGCCUACGGGAGGCAGCAGUCGGGAGUAAUGAACAGGGGGUGGAAGCCUGAUGCAGGGACGCCGCGUGGGGGAUGACGGGCGUGGGGUUGUAAACUCCUUUCGACAGCGAGGAAGCCACCUGGUUGGAAGGGUGGUGACGGUAGUGGUAGAAGAAGCACCGGCUAACUACGUG